Molecule: ribosomal RNA, 394 nt
Filed under: uncultured Gammaproteobacteria bacterium
Lineage: Bacteria; Pseudomonadati; Pseudomonadota; Gammaproteobacteria
Description: bacterial SSU rRNA
Rfam family: Bacterial small subunit ribosomal RNA
Source: RNAcentral
AAUGGGCGAAAGCCUGACGGAGCAACGCCGCGUGAGGGAUGAAGGCCUCUGGGCUGUAAACCUCUUUUAUCAAGGAAGAAGAUCUGACGGUACUUGAUGAAUAAGCCACGGCUAAUUCCGUGCCAGCAGCCGCGGUAAUACGGGAGUGGCAAGCGUUAUCCGGAAUUAUUGGGCGUAAAGCGUCCGCAGGCGGCCCUUCGAGUCUGCUGUUAAAAAGUGGAGCUUAACUCCAUCAUGGCAGUGGAAACUGUUGGGCUUGAGUGUGGUAGGGGCAGAGGGAAUUCCCGGUGUAGCGGUGAAAUGCGUAGAUAUCGGGAAGAACACCAGUGGCGAAGGCGCUCUGCUGGGCCAUCACUGACGCUCAUGGACGAAAGCCAGGGGAGCGAAAGGGAUU